This 714-nucleotide unclassified non-coding RNA is filed under the name Hevea brasiliensis (rubber tree). Lineage: Eukaryota; Viridiplantae; Streptophyta; Magnoliopsida; Malpighiales; Euphorbiaceae. The record is from RNAcentral.
GGAGGUGUUCUUGGUGAUGACAUGUAAGUGUACACAGUGUAUCAAUGUUUAUGAUCACCUAACCAAUUUUUGAUUUCAACUUUGACCAUUAGCAGUCCAUAUUCUUUCAUAGUUUCAUUAUAUGCAAUUUUCCUUGUAGGUGGCUUUAUAGGGUUAUAGUUGAUUGAGUACAAAAGUAUACUCUUUUAUGCUGAGUCUUUAAUAGAUUGGCUCAUUAUAAUUUAGGAUUUCAGUAGUGGAUGGAAAUAAUAGCAACCUAGUGAUUUUCUAAAUUAUAUUUAUGGUCUUCUAUGACCACCUUCAGCAUUGUUUCUUCAUAGACGAUAUUAUCCUUUCUUCUUUCUAUUGAUUUUGUUUGUCAUUUAGGAAUUCUCAUGUUAUAAAUGUGUGGGUAUGAAUAAGGGUAGGCUACUGGUUAAUGGAACAUAAACUUGGCUUUCCUGCAUUUAGUAUAUAAUAUAGCUGAGUUUCAUUUCAUCAGAUCGGAUUUCAUUAAAUAUUGUGACAUAUGAGUCAUAGAUUGUUGUGGAGUAUCUGCAAAGGAACUCAUUUUCUGGGAAGCUUUACCAUUGCAACUGACUGCCUCUGGGGCAAUAUUGGUGAUUUUUCUAUUUAGCAAGCGAAUAGAGGAAUUGACUACUCUUGUGCUGUAUUGAUCCCAUAUAGUUAUUUUUAAGCUUUUAGUUUGUAUGUAUAUGUAAUUAUGAAUAUGCA